Molecule: long non-coding RNA, 1086 nt
Organism: Humulus lupulus (European hop)
Lineage: Eukaryota; Viridiplantae; Streptophyta; Magnoliopsida; Rosales; Cannabaceae
Exons: 2
Source: RefSeq, a predicted model, not a curated record
GAUGGAUAGAGGUUGGAAGAAAAAAAUAAAUUGUCUAAAGAAUAUGGAGAGGGAGUUGAAUAUUUCAUAAAAUUUGGAGAAUAUACCAACUUUUUCCCUGUGUUAUGCUCAUAUACUCGAUCAGUCCCCGUAUUUUGUUAAAUGACAAAUUAGACCUAUGUUUUGCAAAAUAGAUCAAUUUAAUACAAUAGAUCCAAUUUUGGUCAAACUAUUUUCAAAUAUGACCUAAACGCCCUUAAGUCUUAUUGAAUAUUGAAUUUUAAACUAUAUUAAAUUUAAUUUUUAAAAUUAAAACCAAAAUUAAAAUAUGUAAUAUUUAAUUUAAACAAAAUUAUAAUUUUAAUCUCUAUAGAAAACUUAAAUAAAUAAACUAAAAAAUUUAAACAAACUUAAUUUAGGCUAACACUAAAACUAAAUAAAAUUUAAAAAAAAAACAAAAACCCUAAAAUUAAACCAUUUCCCCCAUCCCAUUCUUCUUCUUCUUCUUCUUCUUAUUCGUUGGCCAGAGCCUCAGUCCCGACUCCUCCAAAUCCUAGCCCGCCAGAUGUUGACUCCUCUAGAUCCUAGCCCGCCAGAUCUUUGCCUAACUUUGCUGAUCCCAACCCAGAUUUGGGUCCCAUUUCCCCUGCCAGACCUCGCGUCGUUGCCACAAGCUCAUCCAUAAACCCACCCGCAAAUGCUUGCUUGAGUGUCAAUCGUAACCCAGACCCGAGUCCUGUUUCCCUUGCCAAACCCUGCGUCCCCACCCCUGCAACACAUAGACAAAGAAGAGAAAGAACGAAGGAGAGAGAGUGAAGCAAAAAUCUGCCUGCUUUGUGAAUUUUGAGUGAUAAACAGAGAAAGAUAUGAGAGGCUGGGACUAGAGACAGUACAAGCAUGGGUCGAGUUUCUUGUUGGUGUUGGUGGCUCUGAGAAUUUCAUAUUGUUCUUGGAGACUAUAUGCAUUUGAUUUUUCUGUUUUGUAGUUUUGCAUUUGUUUAAUUUGAUUUAGUUUUUGUUUUUUUUACUUUGUUUAAUUUUUGUUUUAGAUUUUUAGAUAAAAAAAGUUAUAGUUUUUUAAUUAAUUAAAAAUAUUUAUGUUUUUUA